CGAAAAGCCUGACGGAGCAAGACCGCGUGGGGGAAGAAGGCUCUUGGGUUGUAAACCCCUUUUCUCUGGGAAGAAAGUUGUGAAAGCAACCUGACGGUACCAGAGGAAUCAGCAUCGGCUAACUCCGUGCCAGCAGCCGCGGUAAGACGGAGGAUGCAAGCGUUAUCCGGAAUGAUUGGGCGUAAAGCGUCCGCAGGUGGCAGUUCAAGUCUGCUGUCAAAGACCGGGGCUUAACUUCGGAAAGGCAGUGGAAACUGAACAGCUAGAGUAUGGUAGGGGCAGAGGGAAUUCCUGGUGUAGCGGUGAAAUGCGUAGAGAUCAGGAAGAACAUCGGUGGCGAAGGCGCUCUGCUGGACCAUAACUGACACUCAGGGACGAAAGCUAGGGGAGCG
Molecule: ribosomal RNA, 392 nt
Filed under: uncultured soil crust cyanobacterium
Lineage: Bacteria; Bacillati; Cyanobacteriota
Description: bacterial SSU rRNA
Rfam family: Bacterial small subunit ribosomal RNA
Source: RNAcentral